RNAcentral lists this ribosomal RNA (253 nucleotides) under uncultured bacterium. RNAcentral's name for it is "partial 16S ribosomal RNA". It matches the Rfam family "Bacterial small subunit ribosomal RNA", at positions 524 to 776 of the family's 1533-position model. The record is from RNAcentral.
UACGGGGGGGGCAAGCGUUGUUCGGAAUUACUGGGCGUAAAGGGCUCGUAGGCGGCCAACUAAGUCAGACGUGAAAUCCCCAGGCUCAACCUGGGAACUGCGUCUGAUACUGGAUGGCUUGAAUUCGGGAGAGGGAUGCAGAAUUCCAGGUGUAGCGGUGAAAUGCGCAGAUAUCAGGAAGAACACCUAUGGCGAAGGCAGCUCUCUGGGACGGUACUGACGCUGAGACGCGAAAGCGUGGGGAGCGAACAGG